Molecule: non-coding RNA, 31 nt
Filed under: Homo sapiens (human)
Lineage: Eukaryota; Metazoa; Chordata; Mammalia; Primates; Hominidae
Also listed under: 1 other name
Source: RNAcentral
GGGGUGUAGCUCAGUGGUAGAGAGCGUGCUU